This 526-nucleotide ribosomal RNA is filed under the name uncultured bacterium. RNAcentral describes it as "bacterial SSU rRNA". It matches the Rfam family "Bacterial small subunit ribosomal RNA", at positions 383 to 902 of the family's 1533-position model. The record is from RNAcentral.
CUGACCAGCGAUGCCGCGUGAGUGAUGAAGGCCUUCGGGUUGUAAAGCUCUGUGGGGCGAGACGAAAGCCUGGGUUCUAACAGGACCCAGUUUGACGGUAUCGCCUUAGCAAGCACCGGCUAACUCUGUGCCAGCAGCCGCGGUAAGACAGAGGGUGCAAACGUUGCUCGGAAUCACUGGGCGUAAAGGGCGUGGAGGCGGAGAGAUAAGUCGGGCGUGAAAUCCCCAGGCUCAACCUGGGAACUGCACUCGAAACUGUCUUUCUUGAGUGCCGGAGAGGAAAGCGGAAUACCUGGUGUAGAGGUGAAAUUCGUAGAUAUCAGGUGGAACACCAGUGGCGAAGGCGGCUUUCUGGACGGUAACUGACGCUGAAACGCGAAAGCCUGGGGAGCAAACCGGAUUAGAUACCCUGGUAGUCCACGCUGUAAACGAUGAUUGCUAGGUGUCGUGGGUAUUGACCCCCGCGGUGCCGAAGCUAACGCAUUAAGCACUCCGCCUGGGAAGUACGGUCCCGAGACUAAAACUC